GACGUAGGAGGCGAGCGUUAUCCGGAUUCACUGGGCGUAAAGCGCAUGUAGGCGGAUGUCUAAGUCGUGUGUUAAAGCCCCUGGCUCAACUGGGGGAGGUCAUGCGAGACUGGAUGACUUGAGGGCAACAGAGGCACGUGGAACUCCCGGUGUAGCGGUGGAAUGCGUAGAGAUGUGGAGGAACACCAAUGGCGAAGGCAGCCUUCUGGGCCAACACUGACGCUCAUGCACGAAAGCGUGGGGAGCAAACAGG
RNAcentral lists this ribosomal RNA (253 nucleotides) under uncultured bacterium. Its description in RNAcentral is "partial 16S ribosomal RNA". It matches the Rfam family "Bacterial small subunit ribosomal RNA", at positions 524 to 776 of the family's 1533-position model. The record is from RNAcentral.